RNAcentral lists this ribosomal RNA (492 nucleotides) under uncultured bacterium. Its description in RNAcentral is "partial 16S ribosomal RNA". It matches the Rfam family "Bacterial small subunit ribosomal RNA", at positions 29 to 507 of the family's 1533-position model. The record is from RNAcentral.
AGUGAACGCUGGCGGUAGGCCUAACACAUGCAAGUCGAACGGCAGCACAGUAAGAGCUUGCUCUUACGGGUGGCGAGUGGCGGACGGGUGAGGAAUACAUCGGACUCUACUUUUUCGUGGGGGAUAACGUAGGGAAACUUACGCUAAUACCGCAUACGACCUACGGGUGAAAGCAGGGGAUCUUCGGACCUUGCGCUAUUGAAUGAGCCGAUGUCGGAUUAGCUAGUUGGCGGGGUAAAGGCCCACCAAGGCGACGAUCCGUAGCUGGUCUGAGAGGAUGAUCAGCCACACUGGAACUGAGACACGGUCCAGACUCCUACGGGAGGCAGCAGUGGGGAAUAUUGGACAAUGGGCGCAAGCCUGAUCCAGCCAUACCGCGUGGGUGAAGAAGGCCUUCGGGUUGUAAAGCACUUUUGUUGGGAAAGAAAAGCAGAAGGUUAAUACCCCGCUGUUCUGACGGUACCCAAAGAAUAAGCACCGGCUAACUUCGUG